Molecule: ribosomal RNA, 450 nt
Filed under: uncultured bacterium
Lineage: Bacteria
Description: partial 16S ribosomal RNA
Rfam family: Bacterial small subunit ribosomal RNA
Source: RNAcentral
CCUACGGGAGGCUGCAGUAGGGAAUAUUGGUCAAUGGACGCAAGUCUGACCCAGCCACGCCGCGUGAAGGAUGACUGCCCUAUGGGUUGUAAACUUCUUUUGUAUGGGAAGAAACCUCCGAACGUGUUCGGAGCUGACGGUACCAUAAGAAUAAGCAUCGGCUAACUCCGUGCCAGCAGCCGCGGUAAUACGGCGGAUGCAAGCGUCAUCCGGAUUCAUGGGUGUGAAAGCGUGGAAUUAAGUCAGAGGUGAAAGCUCGCAGCUUAACUGUGAAAAUGCCAUUGAAACUGAUUUUCUUGAGUUCGAUUGAGGUAGAUGGAAUGUAUCAUGUAGCGGUGAAAUGCUUAGAUAUGAUACAGAACACCAAUUGCGAAGGCAGUCUACUAAGUCGAUACUGACGCUGAGGCACGAAAGCAUGGGGAGCAAACAGGAUUAGAUAACCCAGUAGUC